UGGGUAACCUGCCUCAAAGAGGGGAAUAGCCUCCCGAAAAGGGGAGAUUAAUACCGCAUAAUAUGUUUAAGUCGCAUGACUUUAACAUCAAAGGAUUUUUCUUUUAAGAAAAUUCCACUUUGAGAUGGACCCGCGGCGCAUUAGCUAGUUGGUGAGGUAACGGCUCACCAAGGCAACGAUGCGUAGCGGACCUGAGAGGUGAUCGCACAUUGGAACUGAGACACGGUCCAGACCUCCGUAGGGAGG
This 246-nucleotide ribosomal RNA is filed under the name uncultured bacterium. RNAcentral's name for it is "partial 16S ribosomal RNA". It matches the Rfam family "Bacterial small subunit ribosomal RNA", at positions 118 to 347 of the family's 1533-position model. The record is from RNAcentral.